Non-coding RNA from Labrus bergylta (ballan wrasse), 548 nucleotides. The record is from RefSeq and is a predicted model, not a curated record. Lineage: Eukaryota; Metazoa; Chordata; Actinopteri; Labriformes; Labridae.
CACACUGCAGGUAUUUAGAUCCAAACGCAGACAACAGCGCAGCGCGCGGACAGGAUUUUCUCUCCGUCCGCGAGGUUAGGAGGAGGAGCGCGCGUUCUUACCGAGUGCAGCGAACAGGGAGCUCUCACUCCCACAAACUUUGUCGCUGCUUCUUGCGUUUUUCUAAAACUUACAAAUAUAUCCCACAUUUGGAUCUGAUCGAUGCUUGGAGCUCGUGGUGUUGUUCCCGUUCUUCCUGCAGAGCCUCAGAUCCGGUUUCAGGCGCACCGGGAGUGAGAGAGGAUCCAACCCGGGAGUGGAAAUUACACGCAGAAAUGGAUUUAAUGUUGGAGUGAAAGUGCACAGUGUCUAAUGAUGGACUGCGUCUCCUGCAGGGAGGAAACACUUCCAAACGUCUGAGAGAGAUGGACUUGAACUUGGUCGUAAAUCUGACUUUGUGCAACCAAAUCUCAGCAACGACUAGGAGGCCGUGAGGUCGAGGAUGUGUUCGAAGCCUCAGACUCUGCAGAGGUGUGAAGAUGGAGCCCUGACCUCAGGUGGUUACUCCA